AUCAUGAUCUGUAUAAUAGUGGAGGAUUAUGGGACAAAGAAUAAAUCUACUUAGUUUUAGAAUGGAUACUAUAACCUCGGACGGGUGAGUAACGCGUAAGAACCUGCCCUUGGGAGAGGAACAACAGUUGGAAACGACUGCUAAUACUCCGUAGGCUGAGGACAAAUAUGAGGAAUCCGCCCGAGGAGGGGGUCGCAUCUGAUUAUCUUUUUGGUGAUGCAAUAGCUUACCAAGGCAAUGAUCAGUAGCUGGUUCGAGAGGAUGAUCAGCUACACUAGGAUUGAGACACGGCCCAGACUCCUAUGGGAGUUAGCAGUAGGGAAUUUUCCACAAUGGGCAAAAUCCUGAUGGAGCAAUGCCGCAUGGAGGUAGAAGGCCCACGGGUUGUGAACUUGUUUUCCCGGUGAAGAAGCAAUGAUGGUAUCUGGGGAAUAAGCAUCGGCUAACUCUGUGCUAGUAGCCAUGGUAAUACAGUGGAUGCAAACAUUAUCCAAUAUGAUUGGGCGUAGAGCAUCUUUAGGUGACUUUUUAAGUCUGUCGUCAAAUCCCAGGGCUCAACCCUGGACAUGCGGUGGAAACUACCAAACUGGAUGGGCAGAGGGAAUUUUUGGUGGAGCGGUGCAAUGCAUAGAGAUUGGAAAGAACACCAUCGAUGAAAGCACUCUGCUACGCCGACACUAAUACUGAGAGAUGAAAGCUAGGGGAAUGAAUGGGAUUAGAUACCCCAGUAUUCCUAGCCAUAAAUGAUGGAUACUAGGCUAUGUACGUAUCGACCCAUGCAAUGUUGUAGCUAACGCGUUAAGUAUCCCACCUGGGGAGUACGUUCACAAGAAUGAAACUCAAAUGAAUUGAUGGGGGUCCGCACAAGCAGUGGAGCAUGUAGUUUAAUUCAAUGAAAAGCAAAGAACCUUACCAGGGCUUGACAUUCUGUGAAUCCUCUUGAAAGAGAAGGGUGCCUUUGGGAAGGAAGACACAGGUGGUGCAUGGCUGUCGUCAGAUUGUGUUGUAAGGUAUUGAGUUAAGUCUCACAACGAGUGCAACCCUCGUGUUUAGUUGCCAUCGUUGAGUUUGGAACCCUGAACAGACUUCCAGUGAUAAGCCGGAGAAAGGUGAGGAUGAUGUCAAAUCAUCAUGCCCCUUAUGCCCUGGGCGACACACAUGCUAUAAUGGCUAGGACAAAGGGUCGUGAUCCUGUGAGGGUGAGCUAAAACCAAAAACCCAUCCUCAGUUCGAAUUAUAGGUUGUAACUCACCUGAAUAAAUCCAAAAUUGCUAGUAAUCGCCGGUCAGCCAUACGACGGUGAAUUCAUUCCCGGUCCUUAUACACACCGCCUGUCAUACUAUGGGAGCUUGUUAUGCCCAAAGUCGUUACCUUAACCACAAGGAGGGGUAUGCCAAAGGCAGGGCUAGUGACUGGAGUAAAGUCAUAACAAGGUAGCCGUACUGGAAGGUGCGAAUGGAUCACCUCUUUU
Capsicum annuum is the source of this 1471-nucleotide non-coding RNA. Lineage: Eukaryota; Viridiplantae; Streptophyta; Magnoliopsida; Solanales; Solanaceae. The record is from Rfam.